UACUCGAGUGGUGAACGGGUGAGUAACACGUGGGUGAUCUGCCCUGCACUUCGGGAUAAGCUUGGGAAACUGGGUCUAAUACCGGAUAGGAGCCAUCUUUAGUGUGGUGGUUGGAAAGUUUUUUCGGUGUAGGAUGAGCUCGCGGCCUAUCAGCUUGUUGGUGGGGUAAUGGCCUACCAAGGCGGCGACGGGUAGCCGGCCUGAGAGGGUGUACGGCCACAUUGGGACUGAGAUACGGCCCAG
RNAcentral lists this ribosomal RNA (243 nucleotides) under uncultured Actinomycetales bacterium. Its description in RNAcentral is "partial 16S ribosomal RNA". It matches the Rfam family "Bacterial small subunit ribosomal RNA", at positions 88 to 334 of the family's 1533-position model. Lineage: Bacteria; Bacillati; Actinomycetota; Actinomycetes; Actinomycetales. The record is from RNAcentral.